UACAGAGGGUGCGAGCGUUAAUCGGAAUUACUGGGCGUAAAGCGUGCGUAGACGGUUACGUAAGUCGGAUGUGAAAUCCCCGGGCUCAACCUGGGAAUUGCAUUCGAGACUGUGUAGCUGGGGUGCGGAAGAGGGAAGCGGAAUUUCCGGUGUAGCGGUGAAAUGCGUAGAUAUUGCUAAGAACACCAAUGGCGAAGGCAGCUUGCUGGGCCACUCCUGACACUGAGGUACGAAAGCGUGGGGAGCGAACAGG
This 253-nucleotide ribosomal RNA is filed under the name uncultured bacterium. Its description in RNAcentral is "partial 16S ribosomal RNA". It matches the Rfam family "Bacterial small subunit ribosomal RNA", at positions 524 to 776 of the family's 1533-position model. The record is from RNAcentral.